AUGGUCGCGGUGGCACGGGUCAUACUUGGGUCACCAGGGGAUUCAGUUAGACAACAGAAGGCCAGAGCAGGGAGAGCGGGCGAGCAAGGAGAGGCUGUCCCUCAGCCCCGCCCGCCAAUGACCUUCACGGGUUGGGGUUUCCCUGAGGCAUCUGCAGGACAGGACGAGGGCGCGGGCGGCAGGGCCCGUACUUCCGUGCCUGGGAGCGCGCGCGGAACUCGAGACUUUCCCGGACAAGGGGCGCAGAGGCAGCGGCUUCCCGGGCUGCGGGCCGGCGCCUUCCGGGGCCGUCCCUGCACGACUGUCGGGAGGGAGGGGGUGGGGGAGUGGUUGGGGCCCGGUGCAGACCCCGCCUCCUGGGACCCUCUGCCCACCCGCCUCCCUACCGAGCCCGAUUCCACCGCCGCCGCCGACUUCCUUCUGCUCUCGGGGUCCCGCUGGGUGUCCAGAGGGCGUCGGACUCACACGGACCACCUAGGCCCACGCGAUGGAGCCUCCAGGCCCCCGCGGCGAGGGGCUCCCGGGCAGUGCGGGGGUGCUGCGGCUGUUCGUCACCUUUCGGGGCCCCGCAGUUGCCCGCUUCCCCAGUGCACAAAUCCGGUCUCCUCCUACUGCCCGUGGCCCUGUCACUGGAGGUGUCCGUGGGAAAGGCCACCACCAUUUACGCCGUCAACGGCACGGAGAUCCUGCUGCCUUGCACCUUCUCCAGUUGCUUCGGCUUUGAGAACCUCCGCUUCUGGUGGUCCUACAACACCAGUGACACCUACAAGAAGGUAAGGAGGACAGGGCGGCCGCCCCCACCAGCCGCCUCCCCGCGGUGAGGGCCACGCCUCCUGCCACCCUUUCUCCAGGGUCAGGACCAGCCAGAGUGGGAGGGGUGCUUGGAAUGUCUUGUGGGGAUUUGGGAUCUGUUGGGAUUCUUGGCUGGAGUCCUAGGGUCCUAAACAGUCCCUGGAAAUCGGGAUGCUUAGGUAAAAAUUAGUAGUCUGAUUUCACAAACGCCAGCCAGGUCUGCCCUGACAGGGGCGGUGUGGGGGGGAUGGGCGGGCCAGCAGGUGGUACUGGGGCCCUGGUCAGGGAGCCACAGUGGCUGCCCCUGGGCAUCACUAAACGCUGACCUCGGCGGGUGCUGAUGGACAGAGCCGUGGGAGUGACCCAGCUGUCCUGAUAUAAAAGGCUCGCAGGAAGACAGCAGUGGGGGCUCCGCGUUCCAGGAACAUCUCACAAAAGGAAAUGGCCGGCUGGCGCUGUGGCUCACUUGGCUAAUCCUCUGCCUGUGGCACUGGCACCCCGGGUCCUAGUCCCGGUUGGGGCGCCGGUUCUGUCCUGGUUGCUCCUCUUCCAGUCCAGCUCUCUGCUGUGGCCUGGGAAGGCAGUGGAGGAUGGCCCAAGUGCUUGGGCCCUGUACCCGCAUGGGAGACCAGGAGGAAGCACCUGGCUCCUGGCUUCGGAUCGGUGCAGCACACCGGCCUAAGCAUGCCGACUGUAGCGGCCAUUUAGGGGGUGAACCAACGGCAAAGGAAGACCUUUCUCUCUGUCUCUCUCUCUCACUGUCUAACUCUGCCUGUCAAAAAAAAUUUAAAAAUUAAAAAAAAAUUAAAAAAAGGAGAUGGCUUGAGAGUGAAACAUGCCAAGUUCAGGUUCCCUGCAGCCUGCAGGUUGGAGGAGCACCUGGGCCGGCAGGUGCUUCCUGCACGUGGACAAGGGCGGUGCCAGGAGGCCGGGAUGAAGUCACCGCUCUCGGUGACCCUGAGUCUUUUGUGGGGCGUCUUCUCUGCCCUGCUCGCCCCUCCUCCUCAGCUCAUCGAAGGGAUUGUGAAGAACGAGAAGUCGGACCCCAAGGUGAAGCUGCGGGACAACGACCGUGUGUCCCUGGAGGGCACCACCAAGGAGAAGAUGAACAACAUCUCCAUCCUGCUGCGGAGCCUGGAGUUCAGCGACACGGGCAAGUACACCUGCCACGUGAAGAACCCCAAGGAGAAGGACUUGGAGCACCAGGCCACCAUCUUCCUCCAAGUCGUCGAUAAACGUAGGCCAGGGGCUGGGCCGGGGCAGGUGCACCCGUGGCUGCUUCUCUUUCUCUUUGCACUUUCACGAGUUACUGCCGCUGCACCUGGACGCUAGCAUUCCGCGUGAACGCUUACCCCGCCGCUGAGAUGGGGACAUGGCUGCAUUCCCCUGGGGUGGCUGCGAGGGUUGAGAAGCCACCUGGGCAUGUUUUGUGACUAGCAAAGCUCCCUGUCUCUCUCAAUGGCGGUCACUGCUACUCCUGUGGCUUCUGCUAGCAAAGGUGGGUUGAAGGCCAGGGAUUGUGCUAGAAAGUGCUAGGAGUGACACGGGGUGGGGAGGGGGGUUGUGGGGAGACAGGUACAGAGGGGACUGCAGCAGGGCCAGGGCAGGACAGAUCCACUGGUGGAGGCAGAGACAGCAGGGGUGGAAUCAGACACGCUGCCCUCCCCUCCAGGGAUGUCUGUCCUGCUGUCGGGGGUUCCAGUCUGCCUGGCCAGCGCUGGAGAAGCUGGGCGGGGCCUCUCGGAGCCCCAGGAAGCAAGGGAGCAGAGGGGAAGGGAACCUGGGCGGGAACCCCAGUCGGAGGCCUCGAGUGUUCCUGGGCCUUCACACCUGCUGGGUGAUGGGGUGCACCUGCAGAAAGAGAAGCUGGGAGUUCAGUUUUGCCUGUGCCGAGGGCAGAGCCAGAGGCCAGUGGGGCAGCUUCUCCUGAAUCAGCUCUGUGUGUGGCGGCCCCUCUGCUCCCUGUCUGGGCUCCUGUCACCCUGCUUUGUGCCCGGCCCUGUAGGAGGGACAGGAACUGACACGUAGGGUGCUGGCGGUCUCCUUCCCCUCAGCUCCUCUGCUUCGCGCACAGUCCUGGGAGGAGCCUCCCGCUCCGUGGUUGUAGGCGUUCAUCCGUAGAAGUCAGCAGCACACACAUGCCGGGGACCAGCUCCGCACAGCCCUGGUCCAGGGUGCUGAGGGCACCUUCCUGCUCUCCUGCACAUGCCGAACUUCCCCCCACCUGGGAAGACAGACCAUAAAACAGCAAGAAGAGAACUAUACCAGACAUGAGGCAUGAUUAGUGUUAUGGAGAAACAAAUGGAGCAGGGGAGGGAGAUGGGGCGUUAGCAGGGUGGCUUGGCAAGGCCUCUCUGGACAAAGGUGAAGUUGUGACCUUUGAAGAAGGCAAGAGAGGAAAUUGGGAAGCUGCCUUUGGGAUGGCAGGUCCUGUGCAAAGGCCCUGGGGCAGAUUCUCAAAGAGAAGAAUCUGCCCCAAGGUUGUGAGGUGUGAGGGUGGCUGGGGCAGGACUAGUAUUAAGAAGUGGCUCAGACUGAGCCAGAUUGUGUGGGGCUCUGCACGUGUGAGUGACACGGAGCCACUGAAGGACUCUGAGGGGGAUGGAAGCUCAUGGAAAAUGGCUCUCACCAGGUGUGGGCCAGGGUGGCUGUGAUUGAUCAGAUUCCGGAACUAAAACAGAAACCAAGCACGCUAGGGUAGUGUUGUAGUGCAGUAGGUCAGCUGCUACUUGCAGCACCGGCAUCCCAUGUUGAAGCAGAGCGCUGGUCCACAUCCUGGCUGCUCCACUUCUGGUCCAGCUUCCUGCUCAUGUGCCUGGGAAGGCAGCAGCAGAUGGCUCCAGUGCUCAGAGCCCUGCUACUCACAUGGGAACCUGGGUGGUGCUCCGGGCUCCUGGCUUCAGCCUGGCUCAGCCCUGGCUGUUGCAGCCAUUUGGGCGGUGAACUGACAGGUGGAAGGUCUCUCUCUCUCUAUCUCACCUUCUCUAUCACUCUGCCUUUUAAAGAAAUGAAAUAAAUCUUUUAAAAAAUGGAGAGCA
Oryctolagus cuniculus (rabbit) is the source of this 3830-nucleotide long non-coding RNA. NCBI's taxonomy places the organism in Eukaryota, Metazoa, Chordata, Mammalia, Lagomorpha, Leporidae. The record is from Ensembl.